Molecule: long non-coding RNA, 493 nt
Organism: Sander lucioperca (pikeperch)
Lineage: Eukaryota; Metazoa; Chordata; Actinopteri; Perciformes; Percidae
Exons: 2
Source: RefSeq, a predicted model, not a curated record
CACGGAAACCUUGGCAACGGCGGAGCUUAGGGCAGGAGCCCAGAGGGUUGGGCAGACCAUGGGGCAGACAGAAGCUGUUGACAUGUACUGGGACCACAACAUCUGUUUGGUUUUGCAAUAUUCAGGAUGUCUCAGCACACACAUCCUGUGUCUGAUGGGAAAGCAGAGCAUUGUGACAAACAGGUCAUGAGCAUCUUCUCGGGGCAGCGAGGGUCAUGUGAGCGACAGUGAGAAAGGCUCCAGUCCAGGAAUAAUUCUUUAAGGCGGAUGGCAAGAAAUCCUCAAGGACAACACUGAUAUUCCCAAAUGAUCCUGGAGUUUGGGACAAUAAACUAACGUUUUUUGGUUAUCUGAUUAUCCCUCCCACUCUGUUCAGCAACUACUAUCAAAUUCAAAGAUAUCUGUCUAAUACAUGAAUCAUAUUUCCUAAUGAAUGAAAGGAAAAGAUUCAAUUUGAAUAGGGAGCGCACACUGCGAUACAGAUCUUACAGAA